Molecule: ribosomal RNA, 392 nt
Filed under: uncultured bacterium
Lineage: Bacteria
Description: bacterial SSU rRNA
Rfam family: Bacterial small subunit ribosomal RNA
Source: RNAcentral
GACGAACGCUGGCGGCGUGCUUAACACAUGCAAGUCGAGCGGUAAGGCCCUUUCGGGGGUACACGAGCGGCGAACGGGUGAGUAACACGUGGGUGACCUGCCCUCAGCUCUGGGAUAAGCCUGGGAAACUGGGUCUAAUACUGGAUAUGACUCCACGGUGCAUGUCGUGGGGUGGAAAGCCUUGUGCGGCUGAGGAUGGGCCCGCGGCCUAUCAGCUUGUUGGUGGGGUGANGGCCUACCAAGGCGACGACGGGUAGCCGGCCUGGGAGGGCGACCGGCCACACUGGGACUGAGAUACGGCCCAGACUCCUACGGGAGGCAGCAGUGGGGAAUCUUGCGCAAUGGGCGAAAGCCUGACGCAGCGACGCCGCGUGAGGGAUGACGGCCUGGUU